UACGGAGGGAACUAGCGUUGUUCGGAAUUACUGGGCGUAAAGGGCGCGUAGGCGGUUUAGUAAGUUAAAAGUGAAAGCCCGGGGCUUAACUCCGGAACUGCUUCUAAAACUAUUAAACUAGAGUGCGGGAGAGGAUAAUGGAAUUCCUAGUGUAGAGGUGAAAUUCUUAGAUAUUAGGAGGAACACCAGUGGCGAAAGCGAUUAUCUGGAACGCAACUGACGCUGAGGCGCGAAAGCGUGGGGAGCAAACAGGAUUAGAAC
Molecule: ribosomal RNA, 261 nt
Filed under: uncultured archaeon
Lineage: Archaea
Description: partial 16S ribosomal RNA
Rfam family: Bacterial small subunit ribosomal RNA
Source: RNAcentral